ACUCAAAUGAAUAGACGGGGGCCCGCACAAGCAGUGGAGCAUGUGGUUUAAUUCGAUGCAACGCGAAGAACCUUACCCAGGCUCGAAAUGCAGGAGACGUGGCUAGAGAUAGCCAUUUCCGUAAGGACUGCUGUAUAGGUGCUGCAUGGCUGUCGUCAGCUCGUGCCGUGAGGUGUUGGGUUAAGUCCCGCAACGAGCGCAACCCUUAUCAUUAGUUGCCAACACGAAAGGUGGGGACUCUAAUGAGACUGCCUAGGUUAACUAGGAGGAAGGUGAGGAUGACGUCAAGUCCGCAUGGCCUUUAUGUCUGGGGCUACACACGUGCUACAAUGGCCGGUACAGAAGGCAGCAAAACCGCAAGGUGAAGCAAAUCCCCAAAGCCGGCCCCAGUUCAGAUUGUAGUCUGCAACUCGACUACAUGAAGUUGGAAUUGCUAGUAAUGGCGUGUCAGCAACAACGCCGUGAAUACGUUCCCGGGCCUUGUACACACCGCCCGU
RNAcentral lists this ribosomal RNA (497 nucleotides) under uncultured bacterium. RNAcentral describes it as "partial 16S ribosomal RNA". It matches the Rfam family "Bacterial small subunit ribosomal RNA", at positions 899 to 1397 of the family's 1533-position model. The record is from RNAcentral.